UUUAAUUGAAGAGUUUGAUCAUGGCUCAGAUUGAACGCUGGCGGCAGGCCUAACACAUG
Molecule: ribosomal RNA, 59 nt
Filed under: Ferrimonas sediminum
Lineage: Bacteria; Pseudomonadati; Pseudomonadota; Gammaproteobacteria; Alteromonadales; Ferrimonadaceae
Also listed under: 1 other name
Description: 16S rRNA. Bacterial SSU
Source: RNAcentral